Long non-coding RNA from Adelges cooleyi (spruce gall adelgid), 2143 nucleotides. RefSeq lists it as uncharacterized. The transcript has 4 exons. The record is from RefSeq and is a predicted model, not a curated record. Lineage: Eukaryota; Metazoa; Arthropoda; Insecta; Hemiptera; Adelgidae.
AGCUCGCUCGGCCGGCUGUUAUCAUUAUUAUAGCAUUUUAAUUUUAUUUAAUCAACAACAGUAGUUUAUUAUGUUUUCCGUUCUACGUACGUGCUUUGUUAUUCACGAUGCCCGUCAACAUAAGCCAAAUUACACGGCAGGCUUUUCCGAGCCAGUCAGUCGACGCUGAUUAAACUCCAACUGCGACAUUCUCUUAAACGAGGAUUAACACAUCACAGCUAACCGUGUCGGCUAAUCGUCGUUGUUAGUGUGCAAAAUUAUUCUUACAGUACCAACUUGUUACAAUUGUUUUGAACUGGGCUGUGCCUGUACCGGACAAAAGAUAAAAACACAAUUUUUGCCAUUAAUGCAACGCCGCCUGUCCGACGACAAGUCAACCAACAGACGUGUCGGUUAAAUCCAGAUACAGCUGUCUAUGCAAAAAUAUGUCCACCGUUAUUGGCAGCUGUCAGCAGACGUUCUAUGAUGGCAAUCUAGGAAAGUAUAUAUUUCACGGAAUUGAUUCGAUUGACCGAAAAUCUAUCCAUCGACACGGUGGUGGUGUUGGACUGUGAAUAUUUUGAGCUCCUUUUCAGUACCUAUCCUUUGGUUUGCCGUCGUCAAAGGAUCACAUAAUACAUUUUAUUAUAGUCCACGCCGUAUGGAAAAGGUUGUCGACAUGGGCAGAGACGAUUCGGCCGAGUUCUUCCAUAAAGCAAUUGGCCAAAGUAGUAAAAAACCCGCCAAAAUCGAGUUCAAAGUGCCUCAUGUCCGUGACCGGUUUCGAAAGUCCGGCAAGAAAGUCACCAAGAAAUAUGUUGACGACAUGUCCGACUUGAGAACAACAACACCGGAACCUGUCAGCAAAAUUCUGAUCAAAAAACGGAAACGGCAAAACCCAGACGAAUCGGUUUCCUAUUUUUACAUCAGUUCGCCCGUUUCCCGUCGAAAGUCUGCUUCCUUUGACACGGCACAACCUAAUGUAGCCUUAACAAAGGCAAACCCGACAAGAGUUUCAGGUCAGCGACAGGAUAACCGGUCGAGACAGUUGGACGAGGAGAUUGCAAAGCGAUUCAAAGCCUUGGCCGAUUUCAUCACACGUGAGAAUUAUUAUUUUCAGAAAAAACGUAACGUUAAGAUUAACAAGACCAAGGGAGGUUAACGUGUAAGAGGUAGGUAUAGAUACACCGUGCAGCGGAUUGAAAACAGUGUGACCUAGUGGACAACUCCAUAAGUUCUCUUAAACUAUAAAAUCUCUGAUGUAAAAUGGAAAUUUCUUCUAAAAACCCGCUACAGUUGUAAAACGAAUGGUUUUAUCCAUCUUUUUUCGUAUAAAAAAAAUAAUCUUAAUUAGUACAAAAAAAUGAUAAAAUAAUCAAUUUUUACAUUUUGCAAUGCUUUUUCAUGGUGAGAAGAACUUGCGGUAUUGUUCACUGAAGCACCGAGUGUCCUUUGCACGGUAUCUAUAAUACCUAUUAUAUUUGUUACUGGCGUUAUUGUCUUUAAACCUUCUUCAAUAUAUUUAUAUUACUCUUCCUUGUCUUUCCACUUCCUCGAGAGUACGCCGCAUUAUUGUUUUCCUUGUCUCGGUAGAUUAAUUUUUUCUGAAGAACUGACUUGAUUUCCAGGGAACAAAGUUAUCAGUCUUUGAAGUUCAAUGUCCUCUGUAAAUCGAUUCCUAAAAGUCUGCCGGCAAAUUAUUACAUUCGACAGUAUUCAGACCUAAUCUCGAUUUUCCUUUUGCACUAGUUGCAUCCCCAGACACAUGUUUCUCAUACAUAGAUUUCGCUUUGUCAAGGUUUAUCGAAAAGUUUGACUACAUUUUACUUCUUAAGGUAACGUGGCGUUCUCUCAGUAAAGUACUCGUGUACAUAUUAUAUUGUUUACUUUGACAGUACAAAUUUCCAAUUCAAUUUGGAUGACUUUAAAACGAUUUUAUUCCCCCCCCCCCCCAAAAAAAAAAAUAUAUAUAUAAGCAAGAGAAGACCCUUAUAAACCCAAAAGACUGGUUUUUAAAAUUGUAGACACUCUCCGCCCCCGACCCCCUUUAACCCAGUAUGUCUUUUAAGCUAUUUGCGCUAAAUUAUUUUUAAAAAAUUUAACAUAUUUUGAAAUUAUAUAUAUAUUUAUGGAAAUAAUGGUUUUAACGAUUACCCCCCCCCCC